Molecule: ribosomal RNA, 460 nt
Filed under: uncultured bacterium
Lineage: Bacteria
Description: partial 16S ribosomal RNA
Rfam family: Bacterial small subunit ribosomal RNA
Source: RNAcentral
CCUACGGGAGGCAGCAGUGAGGAAUAUUGGUCAAUGGACGAGAGUCUGAACCAGCCAAGUAGCGUGAAGGAUGACUGCCCUAUGGGUUGUAAACUUCUUUUAUAUGGGAAUAAAAUGUUCCACGUGUGGGAUUUUGUAUGUACCAUAUGAAUAAGGAUCGGCUAACUCCGUGCCAGCAGCCGCGGUAAUACGGAGGAUCCGAGCGUUAUCCGGAUGUAUUGGGUUUAAAGGGAGCGUAGGUGGAUUGUUAAGUCAGUUGUGAAAGUUUGCGGCUCAACCGUAAAAUUGCAGUUGAAACUGGCAGUCUUGAGUACAGUAGAGGUGGGCGGAAUUCGUGGUGUAGCGGUGAAAUGCUUAGAUAUCACGAAGAACUCCGAUUGUGAAGGCAGCUCACUGGACUGCAACUGACACUGAGGCUCGAAAGUGUGGGUAUCAAACAGGAUUAGAUACCCUUGUAGUC